Molecule: ribosomal RNA, 447 nt
Filed under: uncultured bacterium
Lineage: Bacteria
Description: bacterial SSU rRNA
Rfam family: Bacterial small subunit ribosomal RNA
Source: RNAcentral
AACGAACGCUGGCGGCAGGCUUAACACAUGCAAGUCGAGCGCCCCGCAAGGGGAGCGGCAGACGGGUGAGUAACGCGUGGGAACAUACCCUUUGGUUCGGAAUAACUCAGGGAAACUUGAGCUAAUACCGGAUACGUCCGUAAGGAGAAAGAUUUAUCGCCAAAGGAUUGGCCCGCGUCCGAUUAGCUAGUUGGUGAGGUAACGGCUCACCAAGGCUACGAUCGGUAGCUGGUCUGAGAGGAUGAUCAGCCACAUUGGGACUGAGACACGGCCCAAACUCCUACGGAGGCAGCAGUGGGGAAUAUUGGACAAUGGGCGCAAGCCUGAUCCAGCCAUGCCGCGUGAGUGAUGAAGGCCUUAGGGUUGUAAAGCUCUUUUGUCCGGGAAGAUAAUGACUGUACCGGAAGAAUAAGCCCCGGCUAACUUCGUGCCAGCAGCCGCGGUAAU